This 64-nucleotide transfer RNA is filed under the name Vincenzellus ruficollis. RNAcentral describes it as "tRNA-Leu". Lineage: Eukaryota; Metazoa; Arthropoda; Insecta; Coleoptera; Salpingidae. The record is from RNAcentral.
AUUAUUUUGGCAGAUUAGUGCGAUAGAUUUAGAAUCUUUUUAAGUAAGAAAUUUACAAAUAAUA